This 329-nucleotide unclassified non-coding RNA is filed under the name soil metagenome. Its description in RNAcentral is "partial contains 5.8S ribosomal RNA, internal transcribed spacer 2, and large subunit ribosomal RNA". The stretch from base 1 to 120 matches the Rfam family "5.8S ribosomal RNA", at positions 35 to 154 of the family's 154-position model. The record is from RNAcentral.
GAUGAAGAACGCAGCGAAAUGCGAUAAGUAGUGUGAAUUGCAGAAUUCAGUGAAUCAUCGAAUCUUUGAACGCACAUUGCGCCCCUUGGUAUUCCAUGGGGCAUGCCUGUUCGAGCGUCAUUUACACCCUCAAGCUCAGCUUGGUGUUGGGCCCCGCCGCCCCGGCGGGCCCUAAAGUCAGUGGCGGUGCCGUCCGGCUCCGAGCGUAGUAAUUCUUCUCGCUCUGGAGGUCCGGUCGUGUGCUCGCCAGCAACCCCCAAUUUUUUUCAGGUUGACCUCGGAUCAGGUAGGGAUACCCGCUGAACUUAAGCAUAUCAAUAAGCGGAGGA